GAUGAACGCUGGCGGCGUGCCUAAUACAUGCAAGUCGAGCGAACGGACGAGAAGCUUGCUUCUCUGAUGUUAGCGGCGGACGGGUGAGUAACACGUGGAUAACCUACCUAUAAGACUGGGAUAACUUCGGGAAACCGGAGCUAAUACCGGAUAAUAUUUUGAACCGCAUGGUUCAAAAGUGAAAGACGGUCUUGCUGUCACCUAUAGAUGGAUCCGCGCUGCAUUAGCUAGUUGGUAAGGUAACGGCUUACCAAGGCAACGAUGCAUAGCCGACCUGAGAGGGUGAUCGGCCACACUGGAACUGAGACACGGUCCAGACUCCUACGGGAGGCAGCAGUAGGGAAUCUUCCGCAAUGGGCGAAAGCCUGACGGAGCAACGCCGCGUGAGUGAUGAAGGUCUUCGGAUCGUAAAACUCUGUUAUUAGGGAAGAACAUAUGUGUAAGGAACUGUGCACAUCUUGACGGUACCUAAUCAGAAAGCCACGGCUAACUACGUG
This 497-nucleotide ribosomal RNA is filed under the name uncultured bacterium. RNAcentral's name for it is "partial 16S ribosomal RNA". It matches the Rfam family "Bacterial small subunit ribosomal RNA", at positions 28 to 507 of the family's 1533-position model. The record is from RNAcentral.